UGAGGAAUAUUGGUCAAUGGGGGCAACCCUGAACCAGCCAAGUCGCGUGAAGGAUGAAGGUCUUAUGGAUUGUAAACUUCUUUUACACGGGAAUAAAGUGGGGGACGUGUCCCCCUUUGCAUGUACCGUGUGAAUAAGGAUCGGCUAACUCCGUGCCAGCAGCCGCGGUAAUACGGAGGAUCCGAGCGUUAUCCGGAUUUAUUGGGUUUAAAGGGUGCGCAGGCGGGAUGUUAAGUCGGCGGUGAAAUUUUGCAGCUCAACUGUAAAAGUGCCUUCGAUACUGGCCUCCUUGAGUGUGGAUGAAGUAGGCGGAGUUUGUGGUGUAGCGGUGAAAUGCUUAGAUAUCACGAGGAACUCCCAUUGCGCAGGCAGCUUACUAAGCCACAACUGACGCUCAUGCACGAAGGCGUGGGGAUCAAACA
This 422-nucleotide ribosomal RNA is filed under the name uncultured bacterium. Its description in RNAcentral is "bacterial SSU rRNA". It matches the Rfam family "Bacterial small subunit ribosomal RNA", at positions 355 to 774 of the family's 1533-position model. The record is from RNAcentral.